This 253-nucleotide ribosomal RNA is filed under the name uncultured Bellilinea sp. Its description in RNAcentral is "partial 16S ribosomal RNA". It matches the Rfam family "Bacterial small subunit ribosomal RNA", at positions 524 to 776 of the family's 1533-position model. Lineage: Bacteria; Bacillati; Chloroflexota; Anaerolineae; Anaerolineales; Anaerolineaceae. The record is from RNAcentral.
AACGUAGGAGACAAACGUUAUCCGGAGUUACUGGGCGUAAAGGGCGUGCAGGCGGUUGAUUAAGUCUAGCGUGAAAGCUCCCGGCUAAACCGGGAGAGGUCGUUGGAGACUGAUUGACUAGAGGACGGUAGAGGCGAGUGGAAUUCCGGGUGUAGUGGUGAAAUGCGUAGAGAUCCGGAGGAACACCAGUGGCGAAGGCGACUCGCUGGGCCGUACCUGACGCUAAGACGCGACAGCAUGGGGAGCGAACGGG